This 253-nucleotide ribosomal RNA is filed under the name uncultured bacterium. RNAcentral describes it as "partial 16S ribosomal RNA". It matches the Rfam family "Bacterial small subunit ribosomal RNA", at positions 524 to 776 of the family's 1533-position model. The record is from RNAcentral.
UACGGAAGGGGCAAGCGUUGUUCGGUAUCAUUGGGCGUAAAGGGCGCGUAGGCGGGUUUACAUGUCUGCUGUGAAAGCCCGGAGCUUACCCGCGGAGAGUCGGCGGAAACGGUAAGACUUGAGGGUUGGAGGGGUAGGUGGAAUUCCCGGUGUAGCGGUGAAAUGCGUAGAUACGGGGGAGAACACUUGUGGCGAAGGCGGACAGCUGGCCCAGUUCUGACGCUGAGGCGCGACAGCUUGGGGAGCAAACAGG